UGGAUCGACAGCAGCUGUCCGCCAGGAUGCAUGUGCUCUGCCUUCCUAGGGGUUGGGCACGUGAUCAUGUGAUGGUGUCAACCCAAGAGAAGGGGUCUUAACAUGCAUGAAUACCAGAAAACGGCAACUGCAAAGGAAAAAGAUAAGAACAAGGGAAAAUUUAGUAUUUUAACUUUUUGCUUUCUGUAUGGGUAAGAACAAAACCCCAGAAACAGAGAGCAGGCUAAUUGGGUGAUCAAAGGCACAGGACAGGGGUUGGAGCACGCCAGGAGCUGACAGUCCUGUUAGCAGAAGCAUGUGAGCCGGGGAGCAGCUGUCCCCAGACCCCUGAGGUGCAGGAUGCGGGGCAUUGCGAACCACACGGGCCCCACCGUCCUCCCCACCUCGGGGUGAUGACAUUGUGGACUAAGGCUAACAUGCUUUUCCUCCAUCAAUCUUUGAAUGAAAUGUGGAUACUUUCUUCAGAGCCUGUCUUUAAGGCUGGUGCGAGAGCAGGCCUCGGGAGAGAUGACUGGGCAGCGUGCUGCCCGGCAGGCAUGUGCUUUUAGGCAGACACUAACUAAAACAUCCCAAACAAAUGAACACGGAGUGAGGAACAUGGCUGAGUCCAGGCCUCAGAUCCCAGAUAUGGCUCUGGGAGAAAGGAGACCUGGUCUGCAUCUCAGGAGGGCCAGAGCAAGUUCUGAGCUGCUCUGUGGCCAGGGUGGGCUCAUUUAUACCUGCAUUCCAACUCCCAGCCCUGUUCAGAAACAUCUAUUGAAUGAGCACAUGGAUGACAACAUGAAUGAAAUCACAGUAUAUUGCCUCAUUCCUGGGGUAUAUGAAAAACAGAGGGAAAGGAAUUCCAAGAUACUGUUUCACUGUUCCAGCCUGCCCUGUUCCACCCCAGGCCUCAUGACUGCACUCGGCUCCGCCCUGGCCCUGCCCCCUCUCGGGCAGUUACUAGCAUAAAGAUGCAAAGUCCAGGCAAAACAACUCUCAGUUCUGAAGGAACAAUAAGAAACGGUGAUGAAAGGAAAUACAUGAGUUUGCGGAAAAUUACUGUUCUGUCUGUUUCAUCUGCCUAUUUUAUGAAUAACUGCUGACAUCCCUUCAAUCUCCAUUGGCUGCUCCGAGCAGCUUCUCAGAGCUGGUUUUUUAUUUUCUUUCACAGUCUUUCUCAGAACUUUGCGAUCCCCAGAGGUUACAAAUCUGUGUUGGGUGCUUUCUCUGCUAAAGAAGAGUUUUCUAAUGGCACAACUGAGAUUUCGAAAAAGUCAGCUUUGAGAAUUUUCCUAAGUACUAAAUUGCGUGCACCAAAAGCAUUGGAAAGAAACCACACCUGCACGAGAAUUUCAAAGCCAGGGGGCUCUAUGACUGGCUGGAUGCUGGAGCCCUCCUUUAAAGGAUGGAGGCAACUUGGCCAACUGCAUAUUAUUUUCUAUGGCAGUGGCCCCCACUGUUCUCAGGCCAUGAAACUCGGGAAUGGAUUGUGGCUGUCACCCAGAGUCAAAGAGAUGGAUUGGCCAUGUUGCUUCAGGAUUCAGUCUUCUCAAAGCUUCUGACUCCAGACAGUGCCUCCCCAUUCUGCUGGCUGAGACAGGAGGGGUAUAAGACCAAAAAUCGAAGUGUGUAAGAUCCUGAAUUCCACUGCCUGGCAAGCAACUGAAACUGCAUUUAUCAUCAGCUCCUUCUCCCUGAUCUAUUUUCCCAUUAAAAAAUAAAGACUUGGAUCCUGCAA
Pongo pygmaeus (Bornean orangutan) is the source of this 1720-nucleotide long non-coding RNA. RefSeq lists it as uncharacterized. The transcript is spliced from 3 exons. NCBI's taxonomy places the organism in Eukaryota, Metazoa, Chordata, Mammalia, Primates, Hominidae. The record is from RefSeq and is a predicted model, not a curated record.